RNAcentral lists this ribosomal RNA (1385 nucleotides) under Chryseobacterium indologenes. RNAcentral describes it as "bacterial SSU rRNA". It matches the Rfam family "Bacterial small subunit ribosomal RNA". Lineage: Bacteria; Pseudomonadati; Bacteroidota; Flavobacteriia; Flavobacteriales; Weeksellaceae. The record is from RNAcentral.
UGCAGCCGAGCGGUAGAGAUCUUUUCGGGAUCUUGAGAGCGGCGUACGGGUUGCGGAACACGUGUGCAACCUGCCUUUAUCUGGGGGAUAGCCUUUCGAAAGGAAGAUUAAUACCCCAUAAUAUACUGAAUGGCAUCGUUCGGUAUUGAAAACUCCGGUGGAUAGAGAUGGGCACGCGCAAGAUUAGAUAGUUGGUGAGGUAACGGCUCACCAAGUCUACGAUCUUUAGGGGGCCUGAGAGGGUGAUCCCCCACACUGGUACUGAGACACGGACCAGACUCCUACGGGAGGCAGCAGUGAGGAAUAUUGGACAAUGGGUGAGAGCCUGAUCCAGCCAUCCCGCGUGAAGGACGACGGCCCUAUGGGUUGUAAACUUCUUUUGUAUAGGGAUAAACCUACCCUCGUGAGGGUAGCUGAAGGUACUAUACGAAUAAGCACCGGCUAACUCCGUGCCAGCAGCCGCGGUAAUACGGAGGGUGCAAGCGUUAUCCGGAUUUAUUGGGUUUAAAGGGUCCGUAGGCGGAUCUGUAAGUCAGUGGUGAAAUCUCACAGCUUAACUGUGAAACUGCCAUUGAUACUGCAGGUCUUGAGUGUUGUUGAAGUAGCUGGAAUAAGUAGUGUAGCGGUGAAAUGCAUAGAUAUUACUUAGAACACCAAUUGCGAAGGCAGGUUACUAAGCAACAACUGACGCUGAUGGACGAAAGCGUGGGGAGCGAACAGGAUUAGAUACCCUGGUAGUCCACGCCGUAAACGAUGCUAACUCGUUUUUGGAAUGUAAGUUUCAGAGACUAAGCGAAAGUGAUAAGUUAGCCACCUGGGGAGUACGAACGCAAGUUUGAAACUCAAAGGAAUUGACGGGGGCCCGCACAAGCGGUGGAUUAUGUGGUUUAAUUCGAUGAUACGCGAGGAACCUUACCAAGGCUUAAAUGGGAAAUGACAGGUUUAGAAAUAGACUUUUCUUCGGACAUUUUUCAAGGUGCUGCAUGGUUGUCGUCAGCUCGUGCCGUGAGGUGUUAGGUUAAGCUGCAACGAGCGCAACCCCUGUCACUAGUUGCCAUCAUUAAGUUGGGGACUCUAGUGAGACUGCCUACGCAAGUAGAGAGGAAGGUGGGGAUGACGUCAAAUCAUCACGGCCCUUACGCCUUGGGCCACACACGUAAUACAAUGGCCGGUACAGAGGGCAGCUACACUGCGAAGUGAUGCAAAUCUCGAAAGCCGGUCUCAGUUCGGAUUGGAGUCUGCAACUCGACUCUAUGAAGCUGGAAUCGCUAGUAAUCGCGCAUCAGCCAUGGCGCGGUGAAUACGUUCCCGGGCCUUGUACACACCGCCCGUCAAGCCAUGGAAAGUCUGGGGUACCUGAUAGUCGGUGACCGUAACAGGAAGCU